UAGGGAAUCUUCGGCAAUGGGGGCAACCCUGACCGAGCAACGCCGCGUGAGUGAAGAAGGUUUUCGGAUCGUAAAGCUCUGUUGUAAGAGAAGAACGUGUGUGAGAGUGGAAAGUUCACACAGUGACGGUAACUUACCAGAAAGGGACGGCUAACUACGUCCCAG
This 165-nucleotide ribosomal RNA is filed under the name uncultured bacterium. RNAcentral describes it as "partial 16S rRNA". It matches the Rfam family "Bacterial small subunit ribosomal RNA", at positions 355 to 511 of the family's 1533-position model. The record is from RNAcentral.